AUACGGAGGAUGCGAGCGUUAUCCGGAUUUAUUGGGUUUAAAGGGAGCGUAGGUGGGAUAUUAAGUCAGCUGUGAAAGUUUGGGGCUCAACCUUAAAAUUGCAGUUGAUACUGGUUUCCUUGAGUACGGUACAGGUGGGCGGAAUUCGUGGUGUAGCGGUGAAAUGCUUAGAUAUCACGAAGAACUCCGAUCGCGAAGGCAGCUCACCGGGCCGGAACUGACACUGAUGCUCGAAAGUGCGGGUAUCAAACAGGAUUAGAUACCCUGGUAGUCCGCACAGUAAACGAUGAAUACUCGCUGUUUGCGAUACACGGUAAGCGGCCAAGCGAAAGCGUUAAGUAUUCCACCUGGGGAGUACGCCGGCAACGGUGAAACUCAAAUGAAUCGACGGGG
This 393-nucleotide ribosomal RNA is filed under the name uncultured bacterium. Its description in RNAcentral is "partial 16S ribosomal RNA". It matches the Rfam family "Bacterial small subunit ribosomal RNA", at positions 523 to 918 of the family's 1533-position model. The record is from RNAcentral.